Long non-coding RNA from Homo sapiens (human), 1866 nucleotides. Ensembl annotates it as colorectal neoplasia differentially expressed. Its record names the gene CRNDE. Lineage: Eukaryota; Metazoa; Chordata; Mammalia; Primates; Hominidae. The record is from Ensembl.
GCUCGCGCCAGCCACGAGGGAGCGUCCGCGGCCCGCGCGCCCGCGCGGCGGAGGAGAGGUGAGCCCCCGCCCGGGCCAGGCCCUCUGGCCGCGCCGUCCGCCCCUCUAGUCGUGUCCCCUCGUGGGCCGAACGGACGCGGCGGUGCCCCGCGCCCGACCAGACGUCCCGUGGGCUAGGGCCUGGGCCUCGGGCCGCGUCGGCGCCGGUCGAGCCUCUCCGGGUGUCGGGGUUCGGGGCGGGCGCGCGUGGGCGUGGCUCCUCUGUCCACGCCUGUUCCCUUCGUCGCCGCGGCUCUCGUCCGGGACACGGCUUUCCGGAGUAGAGCCCUUGGAGGUGUUAAGUGUGAUGCUUCCAUAAUACAUUUGGAUGCUGUCAGCUAAGUUCACUUCUGAACUAAGGGGUUCCUCCAAAUGUUGGCUGAAAUUCAUCCCAAGGCUGGUCUGCAAAGUCUGCAAUUCAUAAUGGAGCUACUGUACUGGCUAUUGGAAGGAGGAGAUUCUGAAGAUAAGGAGGUAAAACCUGUUUAGAAAUUAAAAAUGAGUUACGAUUUAAAGAAAAUUCAGAUGACUCAUUGUGAGUGCUAGUUCUCUUGUAGGAUGCCACUGGAAAUGUUGAAAUGAAAAAUAUUCAGCCGUUGGUCUUUGAAAUUUCCUGUGAUGUGUUUCAAUCUAGAUGCAAAGAACAUGGAAAAAUCAAAGUGCUCGAGUGGUUUAAAUAUGUUUUGGGUAUUCCUGUUUAUAGACUAUAAUACUUUUCCAAUUAAAAUCCUCAGUUGUCACGCAGAAGAAGGUUAAGCUGUAUUUGAUUGCCAGUUUUACUGAAAAUGCUUAGUAUUUUACAGUAUCACCAAAUAUAUUUUGUUUAGCCAAGGUAUAGGAAAAAUAAAAUAAAUUGUAUAGGUUGACUUUUUUCUAAAAUGUCUUUAUUGGAUUGAAUGAAUGUUUAUACCUGAAAAAAAAAGGUUCAAAAAAAUUCCUUUUUCUAUCAGAGUCAUUCUUUUGACAAUCAGAUAUUAGACUAGGUUUAAAAUAACUUUCUAAUAUGACUCAUAUUUAUGGGAGGAAAAAGACUUGAAAGAUAUUCCUAUGUGUACUUUAAUUUUCUGUAAUAGUCCCUCUGGAAUAGAAUAUCUCUUCCUCAAACAAAUCUAUUGGCUCAUUUCAUAUACAAGAAAAAGUUGCCCUAAAUGGCAGAGUUUCAUCUCUGUAAAGAAGGCUGACAUCCACUUCCUUCACAGAAUCCCUGCAUUUGGGUAAUUGAGUAAUGAUAGAUUACCUUGCCAUUGGGAAAUACCUUGUUGUGGCCUUUGUAGCAGCUAUAGGAAGAUGGAAGAAUUCUUUUGUAUAGACAGGUCUCUAGCCUCUUUGGUGUGGACACUGUGAAGGGGUACAUCUGGUGAGAAGGAGUGCUUAGGGAAGGAACUGGGAAGGUCCACAAAGGCUGAUGAUGACAAAGAAUCCAAGGGCUAUGAUGAAUUCUUAAGCUUAGAUCUCAGAGUCAUAAAGUAAAUUUAUUAGGCUAGAGAGAUUUCCUUUUUUAUUUUUGAUCAAACUUUAUUUUUUCAGAUUGUUAAGUUCACAUGCAGUUGUACAAAAUAAUACAGAGAUCUUUGAACACUACCCAGUUUCUCCUAAUAGUAACUUCUUGCAAUAUACUGUAUAGCACAGCAUCACAACCUGGAUACUGACAUUGAUGCAGUCAAGACAGAGAACAUUUAUAUCAUGAGGAGGAUCCCUCAUUACCGCCCUUUGAUAUCCACCCCUACUUCCAGACCAUCUCACUCCUCCCUUAACCCUGGCAACCACUAGCAUGUUCUCCAUUUCUAUAAAUUUGCCUUUAUAGGAAUGUUAUAUAAUUGCAAUUAA